GUAGUCCACGCCGUAAACGAUGUCAACUAGCCGUUGGAUCCCUAGAGGAUUUAGUGGCGCAGCUAACGCAAUAAGUUGACCGCCUGGGGAGUACGGUCGCAAGACUAAAACUCAAAUGAAUUGACGGGGGCCCGCACAAGCGGUGGAGCAUGUGGUUUAAUUCGAUGCAACGCGAAGAACCUUACCUACUCUUGACAUCCAGAGAACCAUUUAGAGAUAGAUGGGUGCCUUCGGGAGCUCUGAGACAGGUGCUGCAUGGCUGUCGUCAGCUCGUGUUGUGAAAUGUUGGGUUAAGUCCCGUAACGAGCGCAACCCCUAUCCUUAUUUGCCAGCGAUUCGGUCGGGAACUC
RNAcentral lists this ribosomal RNA (350 nucleotides) under uncultured Zymobacter sp. RNAcentral's name for it is "bacterial SSU rRNA". It matches the Rfam family "Bacterial small subunit ribosomal RNA", at positions 790 to 1140 of the family's 1533-position model. The record is from RNAcentral. Lineage: Bacteria; Pseudomonadati; Pseudomonadota; Gammaproteobacteria; Oceanospirillales; Halomonadaceae.